GAUGAACGCUGGCGGCGUGCCUAAUACAUGCAAGUCGAGCGAACAGACGAGGAGCUUGCUCCUCUGACGUUAGCGGCGGACGGGUGAGUAACACGUGGAUAACCUACCUAUAAGACUGGGAUAACUUCGGGAAACCGUAGCUAAUACCGGAUAAUAUAUUGAACCGCAUGGUUCAAUAGUGAAAGACGGUUUUGCUGUAACUUAUAGAUGGAUCCGCGCCGCAUUAGCUAGUUGGUAAGGUAACGGCUUACCAAGGCAACGAUGCGUAGCCGACCUGAGAGGGUGAUCGGCCACACUGGAACUGAGACACGGUCCAGACUCCUACGGAAGGCAGCAGUAGGGAAUCUUCCGCAAUGGGCGAAAGCCUGACGGAGCAACGCCGCGUGAGUGAUGAAGGUCUUCGGAUCGUAAAACUCUGUUAUUAUGGAAGAACAAAUGUGUAAUUAACUAUGCACGUCUUGACGGUACCUAAUCAGAAAGCCACGGCUAACUACGUG
RNAcentral lists this ribosomal RNA (497 nucleotides) under uncultured bacterium. RNAcentral's name for it is "partial 16S ribosomal RNA". It matches the Rfam family "Bacterial small subunit ribosomal RNA", at positions 28 to 507 of the family's 1533-position model. The record is from RNAcentral.